AGGAGAGUUUGAUCCUGGCUCAGGAUGAACGCUAGCUACAGGCUUAACACAUGCAAGUCGCGGGGCAUCAUGACGAUAGCUUGCUAUUGUUGAUGGCGACCGGCGCACGGGUGAGUAACGCGUAUCCAACCUGCCCCCAAGUAGGGCACAGCCCGGCGAAAGUCGGAUUAAUUCCCUAUGUGGUCAUGUUAUGGCAUCAGUAUAUGACUAAAUGCUUUGGUUGCUUGGGGUUGGGGAUGCGUAGGAUUAGCUAGACGGCGGGUUGACAGCCCACCGUGGCGACGAUCCUUAGGGGUUCUGAGAGGAAGGUCCCCCACACUGGUACUGAGACACGGACCAGACUCCUACGGGAGGCAGCAGUGAGGAAUAUUGGUCAAUGGGCGGAAGCCUGAACCAGCCAAGUAGCGUGCAGGAUGACGGCCCUAUGGGUUGUAAACUGCUUUUAUGCGGGGAUAAAGUGUGCCACGUGUGGCAUAUUGCAGGUACCGCAUGAAUAAGGACCGGCUAAUUCCGUGCCAGCAGCCGCGGUAAUACGGAAGGUCCGGGCGUUAUCCGGAUUUAUUGGGUUUAAAGGGAGCGUAAGCUGCCUGUUAAGCGUGCAGUGAAAUGUAGGUGCUCAACAUCUGACGUGCUGCGCGAACUGGCUGGCUUGAGUGCGUUGAAGGCGGGCGGAAUUCGUGGUGUAGCGGUGAAAUGCUUCGAUAUCACGAAGAACUCCGAUUGCGAAGGCAGCUCGCCGUGUCGUUACUGACGCUGAAGCUCGAAGGUGCGGGUAUCCAAAAAGAAUAAAUACCCUGGUAAUCCCCUGAAAUCUGCCAAAAACCAUC
This 827-nucleotide ribosomal RNA is filed under the name uncultured Bacteroidota bacterium. RNAcentral describes it as "bacterial SSU rRNA". It matches the Rfam family "Bacterial small subunit ribosomal RNA", at positions 1 to 824 of the family's 1533-position model. The record is from RNAcentral. Lineage: Bacteria; Pseudomonadati; Bacteroidota.